This 232-nucleotide ribosomal RNA is filed under the name uncultured bacterium. RNAcentral's name for it is "partial 16S ribosomal RNA". It matches the Rfam family "Bacterial small subunit ribosomal RNA", at positions 100 to 334 of the family's 1533-position model. The record is from RNAcentral.
CGGGACGGGUGAGUAAUGUCUGGGAAACUGCCUGAUGAGGGGGAGUAACUACUGGAAACGGUAGCUAAUACCGCAUAACGUCGCAAGACCAAAGAGGGGGACCUUCGGGCCUCUGCCAUCGGAUGUGCCCAGAUGGGAUUAGCUAGUAGGUGGGGUAACGGCUCACCUAGGCGACGAUCCCUAGCUGGUCUGAGAGGAUGACCAGCCACACUGGAACUGAGACACGGUCCAG